Molecule: ribosomal RNA, 1343 nt
Filed under: uncultured bacterium
Lineage: Bacteria
Description: 16S ribosomal RNA
Rfam family: Bacterial small subunit ribosomal RNA
Source: RNAcentral
GACGAACGCUGGCGGCGUGCUUAACACAUGCAAGUCGAACGGAAAGGCCCUGCUUUUGUGGGGUGCUCGAGUGGCGAACGGGUGAGUAACACGUGAGUAACCUGCCCUUGACUUUGGGAUAACUUCAGGAAACUGGGGCUAAUACCGGAUAGGAGCUCCUGCCGCAUGGUGGGGGUUGGAAAGUUUCGGCGGUUGGGGAUGGACUCGCGGCUUAUCAGCUUGUUGGUGGGGUAGUGGCUUACCAAGGCUUUGACGGGUAGCCGGCCUGAGAGGGUGACCGGCCACAUUGGGACUGAGAUACGGCCCAGACUCCUACGGGAGGCAGCAGUGGGGAAUAUUGCACAAUGGGCGGAAGCCUGAUGCAGCAACGCCGCGUGCGGGAUGACGGCCUUCGGGUUGUAAACCGCUUUCGCCUGUGACGAAGCGUGAGUGACGGUAAUGGGUAAAGAAGCACCGGCUAACUACGUGCCAGCAGCCGCGGUGAUACGUAGGGUGCGAGCGUUGUCCGGAUUUAUUGGGCGUAAAGGGCUCGUAGGUGGUUGAUCGCGUCGGAAGUGUAAUCUUGGGGCUUAACCCUGAGCGUGCUUUCGAUACGGGUUGACUUGAGGAAGGUAGGGGAGAAUGGAAUUCCUGGUGGAGCGGUGGAAUGCGCAGAUAUCAGGAGGAACACCAGUGGCGAAGGCGGUUCUCUGGGCCUUUCCUGACGCUGAGGAGCGAAAGCGUGGGGAGCGAACAGGCUUAGAUACCCUGGUAGUCCACGCUGUAAACGGUGGGUACUAGGUGUGGGGUCCAUUCCACGGGUUCCGUGCCGUAGCUAACGCUUUAAGUACCCCGCCUGGGGAGUACGGCCGCAAGGCUAAAACUCAAAGGAAUUGACGGGGCCCCGCACAAGCGGCGGAGCAUGCGGAUUAAUUCGAUGCAACGCGUAGAACCUUACCUGGGUUUGACAUGGAUCGGGAGUGCUCAGAGAUGGGUGUGCCUCUUUUGGGGUCGGUUCACAGGUGGUGCAUGGCUGUCGUCAGCUCGUGUCGUGAGAUGUUGGGUUAAGUCCCGCAACGAGCGCAACCCUUGUUCACUGUUGCCAGCACGUUAUGGUGGGGACUCAGUGGAGACCGCCGGGGUCAACUCGGAGGAAGGUGGGGAUGACGUCAAGUCAUCAUGCCCCUUAUGUCCAGGGCUUCACGCAUGCUACAAUGGCUGGUACAGAGGGUGGCGAGCCUGUGAGGGUGAGCGAAUCUCGGAAAGCCGGUCUCAGUUCGGAUUGGGGUCUGCAACUCGACCUCAUGAAGUCGGAGUCGCUAGUAAUCGCAGAUCAGCAACGCUGCGGUGAAUACGUUCCCGGG